AUCUUGCGCAAUGGGGGAAACCCUGACGCAGCCACGCCGCGUGGAGGAUGACACCCCUAUGGGGCGUAAACUCCUUUUCUGCGGGAAGAACGCCGGCCUCGGGCCGGGAUGACGGUACCGCAGGAAGAAGCACCGGCUAACUCCGUGCCAGCAGCCGCGGUAAUACGGAGGGUGCAAGCGUUGUCCGGAUUUAUUGGGUGUAAAGGGUGUGUAGGCGGGGCCGUAAGUCAGGGGUGAAAGGUUGCAGCUUAACUGCGACAUUGCCUUUGAUACUGCGGUCCUUGAGUGUCGGAGGGGCCACUAGAAUUCGUGGUGUAGCGGUGAAAUGCGUAGAUAUCACGAGGAAUACCAGAGGCGUAGGCGGGUGGCUGGACGACAACUGACGCUGAGGCACGAAAGCGUGGGGAGCGAACAGG
RNAcentral lists this ribosomal RNA (416 nucleotides) under uncultured bacterium. RNAcentral describes it as "bacterial SSU rRNA". It matches the Rfam family "Bacterial small subunit ribosomal RNA", at positions 361 to 776 of the family's 1533-position model. The record is from RNAcentral.